This 201-nucleotide unclassified non-coding RNA is filed under the name Rhizophagus sp. (in: glomeromycetes). RNAcentral describes it as "partial contains 5.8S ribosomal RNA and internal transcribed spacer 2". The stretch from base 1 to 71 matches the Rfam family "5.8S ribosomal RNA", at positions 84 to 154 of the family's 154-position model. The record is from RNAcentral. Lineage: Eukaryota; Fungi; Glomeromycota; Glomeromycetes; Glomerales; Glomeraceae.
GUGAAUCAUCGAAUUUUUGAACGCAAAUUGCGCUUCCCGGCAUUCUAGGAAGCAUGCCUGUUUGAGGGUCAGUUUUAACAACAAAUCGGUUUGGUUGUUAAGUGUGACGUUUCCGGAGUUUGGGCAAUCUUAGUUUUUGUGGCUAAGGGGCUUAAUAUCGACCUUUUUUGCGCAUUUUUAGAUGUAAAUAAAUUUUUUUUU